CACGAUAUUUUUAUAAUCAAACAG
Molecule: non-coding RNA, 24 nt
Filed under: Arabidopsis thaliana (thale cress)
Lineage: Eukaryota; Viridiplantae; Streptophyta; Magnoliopsida; Brassicales; Brassicaceae
Source: RNAcentral